This 27-nucleotide non-coding RNA is filed under the name Rattus norvegicus (Norway rat). The record is from RNAcentral. Lineage: Eukaryota; Metazoa; Chordata; Mammalia; Rodentia; Muridae.
GGUAAACUGGAACCUGUGGCUGGAGAG